Molecule: ribosomal RNA, 168 nt
Filed under: Bacillota bacterium
Lineage: Bacteria; Bacillati; Bacillota
Description: partial 23S ribosomal RNA
Rfam family: Bacterial large subunit ribosomal RNA
Source: RNAcentral
GGACGGGAUAAGCGCUGAAGGCAUCUAAGCGCGAAGCCCCCCUCAAGAUGAGAUUUCCCAUCCAGAAAUGGAGUAAGACCCCAUGAAGAUAAUGUGGUAAUAGGCCUGAGGUGUAAGUGCAGUAAUGUAUUCAGCUGACAGGUACUAAUAGGUCGAGGACUUGACCUC